RNAcentral lists this ribosomal RNA (90 nucleotides) under Astragalus saganlugensis. RNAcentral's name for it is "partial 26S ribosomal RNA". It matches the Rfam family "Eukaryotic large subunit ribosomal RNA", at positions 1 to 89 of the family's 3401-position model. The record is from RNAcentral. Lineage: Eukaryota; Viridiplantae; Streptophyta; Magnoliopsida; Fabales; Fabaceae.
CGAGACCUCAGGUCAGGCGGGGCUACCCGCUGAAUUUAAGCAUAUCAAUAAGCGGAGGAAAAGAAACUAACAAGGAUUCCUUAGUAACGG